UACAGAGGUCCCAAGCGUUGUUCGGAUUCACUGGGCGUAAAGGGCGUGUAGGCGGCCGGGCCAGUCCGGCGUGAAAGCCCGCAGCUCAACUGCGGAAGGGCGUCAGAUACUGCCCGGCUCGAGGAUUGGAGGGGGGACUGGAAUUCUCGGUGUAGCGGUGAAAUGCGUAGAGAUCGAGAAGAACACCAAUGGCGAAGGCAAGUCCCUGGACAACUCCUGACGCUGAGGCGCGAAAGCCAGGGGAG
Molecule: ribosomal RNA, 245 nt
Filed under: uncultured bacterium
Lineage: Bacteria
Description: partial 16S ribosomal RNA
Rfam family: Bacterial small subunit ribosomal RNA
Source: RNAcentral